RNAcentral lists this ribosomal RNA (274 nucleotides) under uncultured bacterium. Its description in RNAcentral is "partial 16S ribosomal RNA". It matches the Rfam family "Bacterial small subunit ribosomal RNA", at positions 523 to 796 of the family's 1533-position model. The record is from RNAcentral.
AUACGAAGGGGGCUAGCGUUGUUCGGAAUCACUGGGCGUAAAGCGCGCGUAGGUGGAUCAAUUAGUUGAGGGUGAAAUCCCGGGGCUCAACCUCGGAACUGCCUUCAAUACUGUUGAUCUUGAGACCGAGAGAGGUGAGUGGAAUUCCUAGUGUAGAGGUGAAAUUCGUAGAUAUUAGGAAGAACACCAGUGGCGAAGGCGGCUCACUGGCUCGGUACUGACGCUGAGGUGCGAAAGCGAGGGGAGCAAACAGGAUUAGAUACCCUAGUAGUCC